AUCCUGUUUUGGUGGUGCAGCUCUUGGGAUCAGUGCUCUGAGCACCCAGCAGAAGAGGCUCUGAAUGCUUCGGGCUCAGUUAGUCAAGCACCGUGAGCUGCAACAGGGAACAUACAGACAGGAGGCCAGCUGGAGUCUCUCUCUUUCACUUCCUGACGUGUACACCCCGUCAACCCUCAAAUUUCAGCCUCCGAAGCUCCGAGAAAGCCCCUUGGGGAAUACUCUGCUCCUCCCUUUCACUGGGCAGAGCGACCAGCACAGGACCCAGCAUUAGAGAGCUGAACAGCCCCAGACCCCGCGGGCCGGGAGAGCUUCUGGGCAUCCUUCCGUGGGGUCCCAUCACCUCCCUGCUGGAGGCAGACUGGGUACCAGGACCCUGCGGUGAAGCCGACUGGGGAGCAGCUUCCUCCAGCCUCUCCAAGCACAGACGUCAGCGGCGAGGCUCAGACUUGGUGGCUGUGCUCUGUCUCUGCACAGGCUUGUCACCUCUGAUUCAGCCUAGGGUAUGGUUCGAGGUUGCAUCUCUUGUAAACCCCCCUUCAGCUGCUGUCAAGGGCUGGCACCGGAGUUCUUGAAUUUAGGCUGAUGUGGGUCCUGCUAGAGCCUGCUGUCCUCUGCACAUGUCAACAAAUGUGUAUGCAGGUGUGGACCAGCUGGAUCUCUCUCCUUCUCUGGGAAGCGUGGUUUUCAGCAGCGUCAGGCUGGGAAGACAGACAUUUCAUGAACCCUGAAGUCCUGUGCAGGCAGUUGUCACACAGUGUUCCACCAGCGGCCCACGGCCGGCACAGAGCACUGCAAAGCUCCAUCUAGCACAAGUGACCACGGGGAAUGGGUUGAGAAUCCUGCUGCAUUGUACACGUCUCCUAAGGGAAGAACAUCAAGAAAGAUGAGCUCGCCGCGGAAUUGGCGAACUGUGUGGAAGGGGCGGGAUCUGUAGAGCUCAGCAGCGGCGAGCUCCUGUCAUGGCUUGGCCAGUUCGGGUCUCCCCCUGUCACUUAUGAGGGUGCGGCGAUGUUUUCCCAGAUGUGGUCCCCGUGUACAAAACAAAGAAUCGCUUUGCACAAAGCCAGAAGGGAUACAUUGAAAGAAUUAUCAGAAGAGAAUAAUACAUAGGAAAUGUUUGUGCUCGCAUGCAAGGAAACUUUGUGGGGUAUCUGUGGCUGCCAAAGUGACAUCUGGCAGGAUUAACUGGAUCACCAGAGCCAAACAAUGAGGACUGGGAAGGCAGCAAUAACUGUGAGGCCUGGGCCCAUGUGGGGGCAAGAUUUUGAGAAUGACCACUUAGGUGACAAAAUGGGAUUCCCACGAACCGCAGCUCUGGUUAGUUUCUGGUCUGGAGCCAGAUCCUCUCUCUGAUGCAGACGUGGGAGGACGGAGCGGCAAGAGCUGCCCAGCUGCUCAUCUGGGAACUCAUCCUCCAAGGGACUCUGUCCCUCGUUCUCCUCCCGUACCUGGAGGCGGCAGUCAGCGGGCAGCACCUCUCACAGCACCCCCACGUACACCUGCUCAGACCACCUGCUCAGAGCUACUCUUUUGCCCAGCCCAGCAUACCUGU
This is a long non-coding RNA of Balaenoptera ricei (Rice's whale), 1555 nucleotides long. RefSeq lists it as uncharacterized. The transcript has 4 exons. The record is from RefSeq and is a predicted model, not a curated record. NCBI's taxonomy places the organism in Eukaryota, Metazoa, Chordata, Mammalia, Artiodactyla, Balaenopteridae.